This 292-nucleotide long non-coding RNA is filed under the name Solanum lycopersicum (tomato). Its description in RNAcentral is "long non-coding RNA (SLYC_LNC000318)". The record is from RNAcentral. Lineage: Eukaryota; Viridiplantae; Streptophyta; Magnoliopsida; Solanales; Solanaceae.
AAGCUGGAGUCGGAAUAAUGGCAACCAAACUUGGAAUGAUGAGUUUCUUUGAAGAUUCAGGAACAGUGGUGCCUGUUACUGUUGUAGGGUUUCGCGAAGGAAAUAUUAUUACUCAAAUUAAAACUGAAGCUACUGAUGGAUAUAGUGCUGUACAAGUUGGGUAUCGACGAGUUCGUGAUAGAAAACUAACUAAACCUGAAAUGGGUCAUCUUGAAAAAUCUGGGAUUAUUCCUCUCCGUCAUUUGCAGGAGUUUCGUCUUCAGUCUGUUGAUGGAUUUGAAGUAACGCAGAA